This 8763-nucleotide long non-coding RNA is filed under the name Mytilus galloprovincialis (Mediterranean mussel). The record is from RNAcentral. Lineage: Eukaryota; Metazoa; Mollusca; Bivalvia; Mytilida; Mytilidae.
AAAUUUAUAAUCAAGCACUUUCAAUAUGUUGUUCUGAAAUUUUAAAUUCCUUGAACUUCUUUAUUGAAUAUUUCAUAAUUGGAAAAAUUAUAUCUGCAUCACGAUAAAUACAUCUAACCAGUCUAACCAGGUAACUUUAGUGUUAAACAUAGUGUUUUCAUGUCAGACAAUGGAGAACGAAGCACUAUCGUAUGAAGAGCCGAUCUUGGAACAACAAGACAAUGAAUAUUUGGAAAUAGUUGAAAGUCCACGGAGAAAUAUAAAUGGGAUAUCAAGCAGGAUGUAUUUUGGCUUUGAUAUGCCACGAAUUCAGAAAAGAUCUGACAGAAAUCAGUACUUCAUGUGUUUUAUCAUAGGGUGUGUGACUUCGGCAUGUAUUAUAGCUCCUUUGCUCGUUGUUUACAGUCCAUCAUCAAAACAAACUGUUAUAAACGAAGGUAAUAUAUUUAUUACUUACUUUUUUUAUCAUUGAGAUUGCAAUUUAAGUCUGUAAAUCCCAAUUUUUUUUAUUUUAGGACAUUUCGAAAAUUUGAAUAGAAAUUGUGUUUAGCAUAAUAUUACCGAUGCCAAUUGUAUUGUACCAGAUGAGCAUUCCACAAUUGAUGCCUCUUUAGUGGUGUCCAAUGCAAAAAUUAUAUUUAAAGUCUAAUAAAUUAGAAACCAUAAAACGCAGAAACAAAACAAAAGGACCAAAAUUGAAGCCAAACCAGGACAAGCCAUCAGAGCUAUGCAUGAGGGAGAUACUUUCCUUAAGUUGUGUAAUGGCUGCUUGACCAGUGAUUAUUUGAUUCUUAUCAUUAUUCAUAAAAUGUCGAUAUAUCCUUGCACACAUAUACUGCUUGCUUCUAGAAAUCUGAAAAGGAAAUCCAUGCAUGUUUACAAGUGAAUUGUUUCAAAUUUGAGACAUCUGAUGUCAUUUUUCCCUUCACCUUACAUGAAGCACAUACACAAUAGAGUUGUCGGUUUUUACUAUGCCUGCUACAUGUUUAAAACAAUUGGAUAACAUACAAAACAAAUAUAUAUAUUUGACGCUUUCUUACCCAAAUACGUUUAAAUCUGUAAAGAAAAUAUUGCGAAAUGUGAAUUUUAGCAGGUUUCAGAAUAACUGUUUGGGAGUAAAAUUAUGUGCACACCCACUAGUGCCAUUAAAGAUAUCAAUGCAUGUAAUAUACUAGUAAUAUUUUGGUAGAAUUUCAUGUUUGCUUGAGUUUAUAGAUGGUUUGAUUUUGCUACAUCUUUGUGUAUUUUCUUCAGAGAAGUGUAAAUGUCUGAACAAUGGGCACUGUAUAAUGUUCAAUGGUUCCAACUUUUGUAUUUGUCCAGAAGGUUUCCUCGGCACUUCCUGUCAAAUUCAAGGUAAGGACAGUGCAAAUAUUGAACGUUGAUCAAAUGUAUGUUUUCGCAUGUACUUGACUGUCUGUAUUUCCGGUUUAAGUCUUACUAGGUACGGCGGUAUACAAUUAUGAUUGUCAAUGUGAUUGGUACCUAUGGAAGAAUUGAAACGUGUCAAAGAGACAACAACCCGAACAAAAAGGAGCAUGGUAGUACAUGUAUCAUGAUUAAAUUAUUCAGUCUUUUUUUUUUUAAAUUUUAUCCACAGUGCUUGCUCUUAGAUCGAAACUGAAAAUAUUGAAAUACUAUUGGAUUUAAAUGUCAGCAAAUUAAAAAAAUAAAUAUUUUGUUUUUUAAGAUAGUUUUAAUAAAUGUCUGUACCAAGUUGGAACAUUCGUUUGAUGUGUUUGAGCUUGUGAUUUUGCCUUUUGAUUACGGACUUUCCGUUUAGAAUUUUUCUGUUUGUUAUAUUUUUUUUUUUAUUAUUUUACCAUCUUUUAAUGAUUUUAUUAUUAACCAAUAUUAUAUUUAGAUGAAUGUAUUUCAUCAGUACCGUGUCAUAAUGAAGGAACAUGUAUAACUACAGAGAAUUCUUCAUAUUGUAUAUGUACAGAUGGAUAUCUCGGAAAGAAUUGUGAAUAUAGAGGUAUUUAAUGAAUCAAUAUGUGUCCUCUUCUUAAAACACUCUCCUCAAUCAUUUUGAGCUAACUGCCAUAUUCUUCAUGGUUCCGUAGGGUAGUACUUUUGAAAACUGUUCUAGGGAAGAACUAUCAAAAACUGUUCUCAAUUAAGUAGAACUGUCAUCAUCUGUUACAGGUAAAAACUAUCCAAAGAGAGACAACAGAUACAAAAACGCAUAACCAAAGCAGUACACAAAACACAACAUACAAAACUAGACUGAACAAAAAAAAAGUAUUCUUGAUAAAAAAAAAAUGGUCCAAACUGUUGAUGAACAUUUUGACGACCAUGUUACGCAAAAUGACCUGACAUAAUACAGGCAGAAAUGGAGUGCAGGUUUCAACUUUGAAGGCAAUAUUUAUGCACGAUGGUUCUACUCAUUUCUGUAUAUAUAUAUAUAUAUAUAUAUAUAUAAAUAUAUAUAUAUAUAUUAUAUAUAAUAUAUAUAUAUAUAUAUAUAUAAGUACGUCUGAGUCAGUGACAACCCUACAACAGAUGUAUCCAUCGGAUCGCCAUCAAUGAUGGUGAUACAUGGCUGUGUACAUAAUGUAUAUACAACUCGUCUAAACAUCAACCCAACAAUGUUAGAUCUGUAAUUUGCUUUCGCAAAUUUUUGGUUCUUCCCUCGCCGGGAUUCGAAACCAUGCUACUGUGAUAUCGUGACACCAAAUCGCCUGCACUGCAGCCGUCCCGCUAGACACACGACCACUUGGGCUCUCAAAAAAAGCUUUCGCUGGCCAUGUGUUACCUUUCCACGUCAGUUUUAAUCUAGCGGCGUCCUACAGUACAUGAUUAUAAGGCAUGAAGAUGUUAUUGUUACAGAUCAGCUAAAUUAUCUAUAGUAAAGGAUCCUACAAAUUAAUGUAAGAUACAGUCACAGAAAAUGAAAGCAAAUUUACAGAUCUAACAUUGUUGGGUUGAUGUUUAGACGAGUUGUAUAUACAUUAUGUACACAGCCAUGUAUCAUCAUCAUUGAUGGCGAUCCGAUGGAUACAUCUGUUGUAGGGUUGUCACUGACUCAGACGUACAUAUGAAUAUAAUUAUUUUCUGUGACUGUAUCUACAUUAAUUGUAGGAUCCUUUACUAUAGAUAUUUAGCUGAUCUGUAACAAUAACAUCUUCAUGCUUAUAUAUCAUGUACUGUAGUACGCCGCUAGAUUUAAACUGACGUGGAAAGGUAACACAUGGCCAGCGAAAGCUCUUUUUUGAGAGCCCAGGUGGUCGUGUGGUCUAGCGGGACGGCUGCAGUGCAGGCGAUUUGGUGUCACGAUAUCACAGUAGCAUGGGUUCGAAUCCCGGCGAGGGAAGAACCAAAAAUUUGCGAAAAGCAAAUUUACAGAUCUAACAUUGUUGGGUUGAUGUUUAGACGAGUUGUAUAUACAUUAUGUACACAGCCAUGUAUCACCAUCAUUGAUGGCGAUCCGAUGGAUACAUCUGUUGUAGGGUUGUCACUGACUCAGACGUACUUAUGAAUAUAAUUAUUUUCUGUGACUGUAUCUUACAUUAAUUUGUAGGAUCCUUUACUAUAGAUAAUUUAGCUGAUCUGUAACAAUAACAUCUUCAUGCCUUAUAUAUCAUGUACUGUAGUACGCCGCUAGAUUAAAACUGACGUGGAAAGGUAACACAUGGCCAGCGAAAGCUCUUUUUUUUGAGAGCCCAGGUGGUCGUGUGGUCUAGCGGGACGGCUGCAGUGCAGGCGAUUUGGUGUCACGAUAUCACAGUAGCAUGGGUUCGAAUCCCGGCGAGGGAAGAACCAAAAAUUUGCGAAAGCAAAUUUACAGAUCUAACAUUGUUGGGUUGAUGUUUAGACGAGUUGUAUAUAUAUAUUAUAUACAACUCGUCUAAACAUCAACCCAACAAUGUUAGAUCUGUAAAUUUGCUUUCGCAAAUUUUGGUUCUUCCCUCGCCGGGAUUCGAACCCAUGCUACUGUGAUAUCGUGACACCAAAUCGCCUGCACUGCAGCCGUCCCGCUAGACCACACGACCACCUGGCUCUCAAAAAAAAAGAGCUUUCGCUGGCCGUGUGUUACCUUUCCACGUCAGUUUUAAUCUAGCGGCGUACUGCAGUACAUGAUAUAUAAGGCAUGAAGAUGUUAUUGUUACAGAUCAGCUAAAUUAUCUAUAGUAAAGGAUCCUACAAAUUAAUGUAAGAUACAGUCACAGAAAAUAAUUAUAUUUAUAAGUACGUCUGAGUCAGUGACAACCCUACAACAGAUGUAUCCAUCGGAUCGCCAUCAAUGAUGGUGAUACAUGACUGUGUACAUAAUGUAUAUACAACUCGUCUAAACAUCAACCCAACAAUGUUAGAUCUGUAAAUUUGCUUUCGCAAAUUUGGUUCUUCCCUCGCCGGGAUUCGAACCCAUGCUACUGUGAUAUCGUGACACCAAAUCGCCUGCACUGCAGCCGUCCCGCUAGACCACACGACCACCUGGGCUCUCAAAAAAAAGAGCUUUCGCUGGCCGUGUGUUACCUUUCCACGUCAGUUUUAAUCUAGCGGCGUACUGCAGUACAUGAUAUAUAAGGCAUGAAGAUGUUAUUGUUACAGAUCAGCUAAAUUAUCUAUAGUAAAGGAUCCUACAAAUUAAUGUAAGAUACAGUCACAGAAAAUAAUUAUAUUUAUAAGUACGUCUGAGUCAGUGACAACCCUACAACAGAUGUAUCCAUCGGAUCGCCAUCAAUGAUGGUGAUACAUGGCUGUGUACAUAAUGUAUAUACAACUCGUCUAAACAUCAACCCAACAAUGUUAGAUCUGUAAAUUUGCUUUCGCAAAUUUUUGGUUCUUCCCUCGCCGGGAUUCGAACCCAUGCUACUGUGAUAUCGUGACACCAAAUCGCCUGCACUGCAGCCGUCCCGCUAGACCACACGACCACCUGGGCUCUCAAAAAAAAGAGCUUUCGCUGGCCGUGUGUUACCUUUCCACGUCAGUUUUAAUCUAGCGGUGUACUGCAGUACAUGAUAUAUAAGGCAUGAAGAUGUUAUUGUUACAGAUCAGCUAAAUUAUCUAUAGUAAAGGAUCCUACAAAUUAAUGUAAGAUACAGUCACAGAAAAUAAUUAUAUUUAUAAGUACGUCUGAGUCAGUGACAACCCUACAACAGAUGUAUCCAUCGGAUCGCCAUCAAUGAUGGUGAUACAUGGCUGUGUACAUAAUGUAUAUACAACUCGUCUAAACAUCAACCCAACAAUGUUAGAUCUGUAAAUUUGCUUUCGCAAAUUUUGGUUCUUCCCUCGCCGGGAUUCGAACCCAUGCUACUGUGAUAUCGUGACACCAAAUCGCCUGCACUGCAGCCGUCCCGCUAGACCACACGACCACCUGGGCUCUCAAAAAAAAGAGCUUUCGCUGGCCGUGUGUUACCUUUCCACGUCAGUUUUAAUCUAGCGGCGUACUGCAGUACAUGAUAUAUAAGGCAUGAAAGAUGUUAUUGUUACAGAUCAGCUAAAUUAUCUAUAGUAAAGGAUCCUACAAAUUAAUGUAAGAUACAGUCACAGAAAAUAAUUAUAUUUAUAAGUACGUCUGAGUCAGUGACAACCCUACAACAGAUGUAUCCAUCGGAUCGCCAUCAAUGAUGGUGAUACAUGACUGUGUACAAUAAUGUAUAUACAACUCGUCUAAACAUCAACCCACAAUGUUAGAUCUGUAAAUUUGCUUUCGCAAAUUUUUGGUUCUUCCCUCGCCGGGAUUCGAACCCAUGCUACUGUGAUAUCGUGACACCAAAUCGCCUGCACUGCAGCCGUCCCGCUAGACCACACGACCACCUGGGCUCUCAAAAAAAAAGAGCUUUCGCUGGCCGUGUGUUACCUUUCCACGUCAGUUUUAAUCUAGCGGCGUACUGCAGUACAUGAUAUAUAAGGCAUGAAGAUGUUAUUGUUACAGAUCAGCUAAAUUAUCUAUAGUAAAGGAUCCUACAAAUUAAUGUAAGAUACAGUCACAGAAAAUAAUUAUAUUUUUAUAAGUACGUCUGAGUCAAGUGACAACCCUACAACAGAUGUAUCCAUCGGAUCGCCAUCAAUGAUGGUGAUACAUGGCUGUGUACAUAAUGUAUAUACAACUCGUCUAAAACAUCAACCCAACAAUGUUAGAUCUGUAAAUUUGCUUUCGCAAAUUUUGGUUCUUCCCUCGCCGGGAUUCGAACCCAUGCUACUGUGAUAUCGUGACACCAAAUCGCCUGCACUGCAGCCGUCCCGCUAGACCACACGACCACCUGGGCUCUCAAAAAAAAGAGCUUUCGCUGGCCGUGUGUUACCUUUCCACGUCAGUUUUAAUCUAGCGGUGUACUGCAGUACAUGAUAUAUAAGGCAUGAAGAUGUUAUUGUUACAGAUCAGCUAAAUUAUCUAUAGUAAAGGAUCCUACAAAUUAAUGUAAGAUACAGUCACAGAAAAUAAUUAUAUUUAUAAGUACGUCUGAGUCAGUGACAACCCUACAACAGAUGUAUCCAUCGGAUCGCCAUCAAUGAUGGUGAUACAUGGCUGUGUACAUAAUGUAUAUACAACUCGUCUAAACAUCAACCCAACAAUGUUAGAUCUGUAAAUUUGCUUUCGCAAAUUUUGGUUCUUCCCUCGCCGGAUUCGAACCCAUGCUACUGUGAUAUCGUGACACCAAAUCGCCUGCACUGCAGCCGUCCCGCUAGACCACACGACCACCUGGGCUCUCAAAAAAAAGAGCUUUCGCUGGCCGUGUGUUACCUUUCCACGUCAGUUUUAAUCUAGCGGCGUACUGCAGUACAAUGAUAUAUAAGGCAUGAAGAUGUUAUUGUUACAGAUCAGCUUAAUUAUCUAUAGUAAAGGAUCCUACAAAUUAAUGUAAGAUACAGUCACAGAAAAUAAUUAUAUUUAUAAGUACUGGCCUGACCAGUGAGUGUAACCAAGACGACUGGGUUUAAGUGAAGAUAAAACAAUCAGGAGCUGACUUUUAUUUCACUACCAAUCCAAAUGGUGAAAAACUGAAAAUACAAAUAUAAAUACAAUUUUACAAUGUGUUCAAUGAUAAUUAAAGUCCAUUAAAAAUACGGAUAAAAAGUUCGUAGAUAUAUAAAGCUGUUAAUGUUCUUUAUAAUAAUAAAAAGAUGAAUAUUAUUGCACACGUCGGGUUCUGUCUUGAAUUAAAUCGUGUAAUCGCAGAUACGAAACUUUUUGAACGGUAAAAUGUUCAUAGUUUCUUUAUAACAUAGGGAAAUAUGUUAAAACAGUUCAUCGCUAAUGUAAAGAUAUAAUUUGCAAUGUUUUGAAAGUAACUCACGCUGUGGUUAGCCACGAAUUGUUCUUUUGGACAACGUGUCCGCUGAAUGUUCUUUGCAGUUGUGCAAUAUAUAUAUAUAUAUAUAUAUUGUCCCCAAACUAGGUCCUCUAUUUACAUAAAUACAUAUGUGCUUUCUGUGCAAAACGGCUAUUCAUUUAACUGGCCUUAAUAAUUAGGUAUUUGACUUUUUUUACUGACCUACUAGCAUUUUGUUUUAUUUAUGAUAGACAUGGUAAACAGGUACAUUAUGAUAUCGGGAUCUUCAUUCAUGUUUUACAAUUGCGUAUUUCACACAGAGUCAAAUUAUAUUUUAGGUCCUUCAGGUUACCAGUUUUUCGUAGUUUUUAAUCCGAGACAGAGGAAAUCUACUCUUUACCUGUCAUCCCGGAAGCAUGGACAUUGUGAUAUCAUUUACCCAUCUUUUGAACAAACCAAAACGCUGACAUUGGAAGGAAAAUAUGUAACAUUUGACCUGUCGGAUAAAUAUGAUUUUACUAACCAUUCCGAAAACAGUGAUGUCUAUGUUCGUAUUUUCUGUGACGUCCUCAGUACUUUAUUUCAUUUCGUAAGAGAUAGUUAUGGCUCCAUUUGGGAGUCAUACAUUGUGAUACCCUCUGCAUUGUUAUCUACGCAGUAUGUUGUACCAAAGUAUAAAACGCAGCAGAAGUUUGAUGCACUUGGAAUAAUAGCAAUCGAAGAGGAUACACAAAUCAAUGUUAGUUUUACAUCGGCACGGUGGAUCCUGAGUAACAUUACAUUUCGUCAAAGCAUUUACCAUAAGAGCCAGUUAUUGUCAUUUACAACAGAUCCAUACGUAUACAAUUUUAUAAGCUGCGAUGAGUGUUAUCUUACCGGAACAUAUAUUACAUCAACUUAUCCAGUUGCUGUGAUGUUUAAAUCAUCCAUUCCUGAGGUAGUUCCGGUACUACCUUAUAAAGAAUUUAGUCGUCAAUUCAUAGUACCAAAACUUCAAGCAGAAAUAAAGACUAUGGGGCUAAGAAUAUAUGCACAUACAAGAACUAGACUGGAAUUAAAGGAUGAUAAUAAUAUAGUUUCUACUUCAGUCAUAAAUGCAAACAACUACCAUAACACAAAUCAUAAGAACACUACGGCAAUAACGGCCGACAAAGAUAUAUUAUUGUUCCUUAAGAUUUACAGUCCUCAUACCGGAACUAUUGAUGUUACUGUUCCUAGUGAUACACAAUAUUUACCUGAAUAUCAGUUUAUUAUUCCAAAAGGCACAAUGAAAAACAUUGCAACGUUUAUCGUCAAGUUAGGUUUUUCACAAGGUGUUCGGCUAAAUAAUAAUGUUAUCAAAUAUGACGAGUUUCGCCAGAAAAUGACAAUCAAUUUAAAAACCCAUGUAUACCAGAUUUUCUCGGUCAAUGUUACAACCGGAUGGCACACAGUUCAUCAUAUUGGACAUGUGCCGUUUGGAAUUUUAAUUCAAGGUAUUUCAAAUUCUCAAAACAAGCAGUUUUCAAGUCCUUAUGCUUAUUUCCCUGGUAUGAACUACAGC